GACGAACGCUGGCGGCGCGCCUAACACAUGCAAGUCGAACGAGCGAGAGAGAGCUUGCUUUCUCGAACGAGUGGCGAACGGGUGAGUAACGCGUGAGGAACCUGCCUCAAAGAGGGGGACAACAGUUGGAAACGACUGCUAAUACCGCAUAAGCCCACGGGUCGGCAUCGACCAGAGGGAAAAGGAGCAAUCCGCUUUGAGAUGGCCUCGCGUCCGAUUAGCUAGUUGGUGAGGUAACGGCCCACCAAGGCAACGAUCGGUAGCCGGACUGAGAGGUUGAACGGCCACAUUGGGACUGAGACACGGCCCAGACUCCUACGGGAGGCAGCAGUGGGGAAUAUUGCACAAUGGGGGAAACCCUGAUGCAGCGACGCCGCGUGGAGGAAGAAGGUCUUCGGAUUGUAAACUCCUGUUGUUGGGGAAGAUAAUGACGGUACCCAACAAGGAAGUGACGGCUAACUACGUGCCAGCAGCCGCGGUAAAACGUAGGUCACAAGCGUUGUCCGGAAUUACUGGGUGUAAAGGGAGCGCAGGCGGGAAGACAAGUUGGAAGUGAAAUCCAUGGGUCAACCCAUGAACUGCUUUCAAAACUGUUUUUCUUGAGUAGUGCAGAGGUAGGCGGAAUUCCCCGGUGUAGCGGUGGAAUGCCGUAGAUAUCGGGAGGGAACACCAGUGGCGAAGGCGGCCUACUGGGCACCAACUGACGCUGAGGCUCGAAAGUGUGGGUAGCAAACAGGAUUAGAUACCCUGGUAGUCCACACCGUAAACGAUGAUUACUAGGUGUUGGGGGAUUGACCCCCUCAGUGCCGCAGUUAACACAAUAAGUAAUCCACCUGGGGAGUACGACCGCAAGGUUGAAACUCAAAGGAAUUGACGGGGGCCCGCACAAGCAGUGGAGUAUGUGGUUUAAUUCGACGCAACGCGAAGAACCUUACCAAGUCUUGACAUCCUGCGACGGUGCUGGAAACAGUACUUUCCUUCGGGACGCAGAGACAGGUGGUGCAUGGUUGUCGUCAGCUCGUGUCGUGAGAUGUUGGGUUAAGUCCCGCAACGAGCGCAACCCUUAUGGUCAGUUACUACGCAAGAGGACUCUGGCCAGACUGCCGUUGACAAAACGGAGGAAGGUGGGGAUGACGUCAAAUCAUCAUGCCCUUUAUGACUUGGGCUACACACGUACUACAAUGGCGUUAAACAAAGAGAAGCAAGACCGCGAGGUGGAGCAAAACUCAGAAACAACGUCCCAGUUCGGACUGCAGGCUGCAACUCGCCUGCACGAAGUCGGAAUUGCUAGUAAUCGUGGAUCAGCAUGCCACGGUGAAUACGUUCCCGGGCCU
This 1334-nucleotide ribosomal RNA is filed under the name uncultured bacterium. RNAcentral's name for it is "bacterial SSU rRNA". It matches the Rfam family "Bacterial small subunit ribosomal RNA", at positions 28 to 1381 of the family's 1533-position model. The record is from RNAcentral.